RNAcentral lists this unclassified non-coding RNA (258 nucleotides) under Hevea brasiliensis (rubber tree). Lineage: Eukaryota; Viridiplantae; Streptophyta; Magnoliopsida; Malpighiales; Euphorbiaceae. The record is from RNAcentral.
GAGAGAGAGAGAGAGAGAGACUGAUCUAGCAAUGAAAUGGUUAACCUUCUAAAAAAUGAUCAAACCGUUGCAUAAAAGGGUUCUACAUGAUAGCUCAUGCAAUAAAAUAUCUAGUCCCCAAAACUUAAAUUUAGGGGGAAAAAAAGGCCUGAAUCUUGCACCAUCUCCAGUUAGACAUGAAAAACAGUAUUCCUGUAAUCAUUUGGAUAUAAGCACAGGAUUAUUUCUGAUGCAGCAUGUUUCCAAAGUCAACUCAUG